This 486-nucleotide ribosomal RNA is filed under the name uncultured bacterium. Its description in RNAcentral is "partial 16S ribosomal RNA". It matches the Rfam family "Bacterial small subunit ribosomal RNA", at positions 30 to 507 of the family's 1533-position model. The record is from RNAcentral.
AUUGAACGCUGGCGGCAUGCCUUACACAUGCAAGUCGAACGGCAGCACGGGUGCUUGCCCCUGGUGGCGAGUGGCGAACGGGUGAGUAAUACAUCGGAACAUGUCCUGUAGUGGGGGAUAGCCCGGCGAAAGCCGGAUUAAUACCGCAUACGAUCUACGGAUGAAAGCGGGGGACCUUCGGGCCUCGCGCUAUAGGGUUGGCCGAUGGCUGAUUAGCUAGUUGGUGGGGUAAAGGCCUACCAAGGCGACGAUCAGUAGCUGGUCUGAGAGGACGACCAGCCACACUGGGACUGAGACACGGCCCAGACUCCUACGGGAGGCAGCAGUGGGGAAUUUUGGACAAUGGGCGAAAGCCUGAUCCAGCAAUGCCGCGUGUGUGAAGAAGGCCUUCGGGUUGUAAAGCACUUUUGUCCGGAAGGAAAUCCUUGGCCCUAAUACGGUCGGGGGAUGACGGUACCGGAAGAAUAAGCACCGGCUAACUACGUG